RNAcentral lists this ribosomal RNA (1018 nucleotides) under human metagenome. Its description in RNAcentral is "bacterial LSU rRNA". It matches the Rfam family "Bacterial large subunit ribosomal RNA", at positions 1907 to 2925 of the family's 2925-position model. The record is from RNAcentral.
UUGAAUUGAAGCCCCAGUAAACGGCGGCCGUAACUAUAACGGUCCUAAGGUAGCGAAAUUCCUUGUCGGGUAAGUUCCGACCUGCACGAAUGGCGUAACGAUCUCCACACUGUCUCGGCCAGAGACUCGGUGAAAUUGCAGUCGCGGUGAAAAUUCCGUGUACCCGCAGAAAGACGGAAAGACCCUGUGCACCUUUACUAUAGCUUGACAUUGGAUUUUGGGCCUGCAUGUGUAGGAUAGGUGGGAGGCUGUGAACCCUGUACGCCAGUAUGGGGGGAGCCAUCCUUGAAAUACCACCCUUGCAUGUUUAAGAUCCUAACUUCUUCCGGUUAUCCCGGAGAAAGACAGUGUCUGGCGGGUAGUUUGACUGGGGCGGUCGCCUCCUAAAGUGUAACGGAGGCAUGCAAAGGUUCCCUCAGCCUGAUCGGAAACCAGGCGCUGAGUGCAAACGCAUAAGGGAGCUUGACUGUAAGAGAGACAUCUCGAACAGGAACGAAAGUUGGCGUUAGUGAUCCGGUGGUCCCGUAUGGAAGGGCCAUCGCUCAUUGGAUAAAAGGUACGCCGGGGAUAACAGGCUGAUCGCAUCCAAGAGUUCACAUCGACGAUGCGGUUUGGCACCUCGAUGUCGGCUCAUCACAUCCUGGGGCUGAAGCAGGUCCCAAGGGUACGGCUGUUCGCCGUUUAAAGUGGUACGCGAGCUGGGUUUAAAACGUCGUGAGACAGUUUGGUCCCUAUCUUCUGUGGGCGAAGGAGAAUUGAGAGGGCCUGUCCCUAGUACGAGAGGACCGGGAUGGACGCACCCCUGGUGAUCCUGUUGUCGCGCCAGCGGCAUAGCAGGGUAGCUAUGUGCGGAAGGGAUAACCGCUGAAAGCAUCUAAGCGGGAAGCCUGCCUCAAGAUAAGUUCUCCCCUCGAAAGAGCUGAAGGGCCCGGGUAGACUACCCGGUCGAUAGGCUGGAGGUGUAAGCGCGGCGACGUGCUCAGCUGACCAGUACUAAUAGCCCGAGCGGCUUAUUUUU